CUCCCAGAGGUUCCGACCACCGUGUGCUCUCCAUUCCCUAACCUUGGUUGGGCCAUUGCACUCACUGGGACUGCCGAGGUCUUUUUCCCUAGUGUGAUGGCAAGUUCCAAAGGGAGACAGAAAGAUAGUUACUACUCAAACAUGCAGCCAAAUUAAGCCUUCGUAAUCAACAGUUUGUUUUAAUUAAGCAAAAGAGCUCUCGUCAAAUUCAACACGUACAUAUCACGUGCACCUAACUAAACUUAAGUAUUUUUACAGUAAGCGAAAGUCUAGUAAAAAUAAAAUAAAUGACAAGAAAGGAUUAAGUUUGCGCCCUGUGGAAAAGAAUAAUUAACGCUCUGUAAAAGAAAAGAUUAAUUAACGCUCUGUAAAAGAAAGGAUUAAUUAACGCCCUGAAAAAGAAAAGAGUUAGAUAAAGAUCCUCCCCUGAGACUUCCAACCGUUGAAGGUGGUGAUCCUGGUGGUGUGACGAAGAGUUUGCCUCUGUGAGACCUGGAGGUAUCUCUCGAGGUACAUUUCACCGUUUGGCGCUCAACCCGUCGCAGACAAAGAAGCUGCCAUGGUGAAAAACCCCAGCUGAAAGUUGAACCAAUCUCAUCUUUUGAAGAGGCGCUCAACCCGUCGGAGACUAAGAAGCUGCCUGAGAUUUUCGUUCAACUCCAGGAGAAUAUUUCUCAAUCAAUCUUUCCAACCCGUCGGCGGGAGAGAUUGAUCGGCUUCGCGAGUUAGUUGGCUCAACCCGUCGCAGACAAAGAAGCUCAACAAAACUGGCGGCUGGUGCGCUCAACCCGUCGAAGACAAAGAAGCUGCACCUGAAUUAAGUUGGUAACUGAAUCAAUCCUUUAUUUGAAGUUGGCGCUCAACCCGUCGGAGACUAAGAAGCUGCCAAGGAUUUACAUCCAGCACCAGGAGUUACUCCAAACAGUCUUUCCGACCCGUCGGUGGAAAAAAUGAGUUUGGAACGCAAAGCUAGUUGGCUCAACCCGUCGAAGACAAAGAAGCUCAACUACAGCAGUGAGACGAGUGCAAGCGUUGUCUCCGAAAAGACGUACAAACACUGUCUGAUUUUCCUCUUCCAAGCGGCAACUAUUUAUAGGGGUUGCGUGACGUCACUGGUUCUGUGGCCUACGUGACUAACAAGAAAUAUUGUUUAAAGUUGAUAAACAAUGCGUUAAUAUCUUCGAAGGAUUGACAGGAAGUUUGCAAACGUCUCUGGGUGAUGUCGAGAUGUGAUAGAAUCGACGUAUUUAUUCCUCAAUCGCCAAUUAAUUAAUAAAAGCGUUUCCACGCGGAAUAAAAGAGCUUUCUUCGGGUUUA
This is a long non-coding RNA of Tribolium castaneum (red flour beetle), 1317 nucleotides long. RefSeq lists it as uncharacterized. The record is from RefSeq and is a predicted model, not a curated record. The transcript has 2 exons. NCBI's taxonomy places the organism in Eukaryota, Metazoa, Arthropoda, Insecta, Coleoptera, Tenebrionidae.